CCUGACGGUAGUCGUAUGCUCGUCUCCGAGACUAAGCCAUGCAAGUCCAAGUACACGUCCUUGAACGACGGAAACUGCGAACGGCUCAUUAAAUCAGUUGCGAUCUACUCGGCGUUCCGCGCCGCCGGAUAACCGUAGUAAUUCUAGGGCUAAUACGUGCGAAGCGCCCGAAGCCGCGAGGCGACGGGCGUUCUCGCCGGAUGUAGGAACCGACCCGGGGACCGCCGGGGCAACCCGGCGCCCCGAGACGGGGCGAACCACGUGAAAUGACGGAUCGUCGGCCCCGCGCCGGCGACUCGCCGAAUGAGUUUCUGACCUAUCAACUCGAGACGGCGGGGUAGGAGGCCCGCCGCGGUAACGACGGGUAACGGGGAAGUCAGGGUUCGAUUCCGGAGAGGGAGCCGAGAAACGGCUACCACUUCCAAGGAAGGCAGCAGGCG
RNAcentral lists this ribosomal RNA (440 nucleotides) under uncultured eukaryote. RNAcentral's name for it is "bacterial SSU rRNA". It matches the Rfam family "Eukaryotic small subunit ribosomal RNA", at positions 13 to 434 of the family's 1831-position model. The record is from RNAcentral.